Etheostoma cragini (Arkansas darter) is the source of this 74-nucleotide long non-coding RNA. RefSeq lists it as uncharacterized. The transcript is spliced from 3 exons. Lineage: Eukaryota; Metazoa; Chordata; Actinopteri; Perciformes; Percidae. The record is from RefSeq and is a predicted model, not a curated record.
UAUUCAAAGUGCCUUGCCUUCCAACCUCAGCCUGUCAGACAGUCACCAGGGCAGAGAAACCACCGUUGUGCCUG